UACGUAGGGUGCGAGCGUUGUCCGGAAUUAUUGGGCGUAAAGAGCUCGUAGGCGGCUUGUCGCGUCGAAUGUGAAAACCCACGGCUCAACUGUGGGCUUGCAUUCGAUACGGGCAGGCUAGAGUUCGGCAGGGGAGACGUGGAAUUCCGGGUGUAGCGGUGGAAUGCGUAGAGAUCCGGAAGAACACCAGUGGCGAAGGCGGCCCGCUGGGCAGUGGCUGACGCUGGAGGCGCGACAGCGUGGGGAGCAAACAGG
RNAcentral lists this ribosomal RNA (255 nucleotides) under uncultured bacterium. RNAcentral describes it as "partial 16S ribosomal RNA". It matches the Rfam family "Bacterial small subunit ribosomal RNA", at positions 524 to 776 of the family's 1533-position model. The record is from RNAcentral.